Molecule: ribosomal RNA, 1812 nt
Filed under: human gut metagenome
Description: bacterial LSU rRNA
Rfam family: Bacterial large subunit ribosomal RNA
Source: RNAcentral
CCCGAAAACUAUUGAGGUAGUGCCUCGUGUAUAACUCCAGGGGGUAGAGCACUGUUAUGGCUAGGGGGACAUGGCGUCUUACCAAACCAUGGCAAACUCCGAAUACUUGGAAGUUGAGCACGGGAGACAGAGCACCGGGUGCUAACGUCCGGACUCAAAAGGGAAACAACCCAGACCGCCGGCUAAGGUCCCUAAUAUUGACUAAGUGGAAAACGAAGUGGGAAGGCUAAGACAGUCAGGAAGUUGGCUUAGAAGCAGCCAUCCUUCAAAGAAAGCGUAAUAGCUCACUGAUCGAGUCUUCCUGCGCGGAAGAUGUAACGGGGCUAAGUCAAUAACCGAAGCCGCGGAUUCACACGUUAAGUGUGAGUGGUAGGGGAGCGUUCUGUAAGCCUGCGAAGGUGACUUGUAAAGGUUGCUGGAGGUAUCAGAAGUGCGAAUGCUGACAUGAGUAACGUUAAAGCGGGUGAAAAGCCCGCUCGCCGUAAGCCCAAGGUUUCCUGCUCUACGUUCAUCGGAGCAGGGUGAGUCGGCCCCUAAGGUGAGGCUGAUAAGCGUAACUGAUGGGAACAAGGUUAAUAUUCCUUGACCACCGUUGAGUGCGAAGGGGGGACGGAGUAUUGAAGAUCAUCCAGGUGUUGGAUAUCCUGGUUUGUUCGCGUAGGAGGUUGAUAGGCAAAUCCGUCAACGUAUCUCCGAGGCAAAGCAUCGAGAUCCGUAUGGAUCGAAGUGAUUGGAUGUGCUCCCAGGAAAAGCCUCUAAGCUCCAGCUCAACGGGACCGUACCGCAAACCGACACUGGUGGGCGAGCUGAAUAUGCUCAGGCGCUUGAGAGAACUCAGGAGAAGGAACUCGGCAAAUUGACACCGUAACUUCGGGAUAAGGUGUGCCUUUGUAGUGUGAAGGAAGAAACAUCCGGAGCAUGAAGAGGUCUCAGAGAAUUGGUGGCUGCGACUGUUUACUAAAAACACAGCACUCUGCAAAGACGAAAGUCGACGUAUAGGGUGUGAUGCCUGCCCGGUGCUGGAAGAUUAAUUGAUGGGGUGCAAGCUCCUGAUCGAAGUCCCAGUAAACGGCGGCCGUAACUAUAACGGUCCUAAGGUAGCGAAAUUCCUUGUCGGGUAAGUUCCGACCUGCACGAAUGGCAUAACGAUGGCCACACUGUCUCCUCCCGAGACUCAGUGAAGUUGAAAUGUUUGUGAUGAUGCAAUCUACCCGCGGCUAGACGGAAAGACCCCAUGAACCUUUACUGCAGCUUUGCAUUGAACUGUGAACCGAUUUGUGUAGGAUAGGUGGGAGGCAGAGAAGAGUCCACGCCAGUGGUCUUGGAGCCGACCUUGAAAUACCACCCUGAUUUGUUUGCGGUUCUAACCACGGACAGUGAUCCUGUCUUGGGACCGUGCAUGGUAGGCAGUUUGACUGGGGCGGUCUCCUCCUAAAGGGUAACGGAGGAGUGCGAAGGUACGCUAGGUACGGUCGGAAAUCGUGCUGAUAGUGCAAAGGCAAAAGCGUGCUUGACUGCGAGACUCACAAGUCGAGCAGAUACGAAAGUAGGUCUUAGUGAUCCGGUGGCUCUGUAUGGAAGGGCCAUCGCUCAACGGAUAAAAGGUACUCUGGGGAUAACAGGCUGAUACCGCCCAAGAGUUCAUAUCGACGGCGGUGUUUGGCACCUCGAUGUCGGCUCAUCUCAUCCUGGGGCUGUAGCCGGUCCCAAGGGUAUGGCUGUUCGCCAUUUAAAGAGGUACGUGAGCUGGGUUUAAAACGUCGUGAGACAGUUUUGUCCCUAUCUGCCGUGGGCGUUGGAAGAUUGACGGGG